Molecule: small nucleolar RNA, 127 nt
Filed under: Erinaceus europaeus (western European hedgehog)
Lineage: Eukaryota; Metazoa; Chordata; Mammalia; Eulipotyphla; Erinaceidae
Description: Small nucleolar RNA SNORA27 (ENSEEUG00000017324.1)
Rfam family: Small nucleolar RNA SNORA27
About the family: ACA27 is a member of the H/ACA class of snoRNA that guide the sites of modification of uridines to pseudouridines.
Source: Rfam by way of RNAcentral
GUUCCCCCUUUUACUUUGCCAAUUGGACUUAUGUCUUUAUUGGUCAUUCAACUGGGGCAAACGAACUACCCUUUUAAAACUCAGGCAAACUGGGUGUUUGUCUUAUAUCCUGUCAGAGGAAACAAAA